GGGGAAUAUUGGACAAUGGGCGAAAGCCUGAUCCAGCAAUGCCGCGUGAGUGAUGAAGGCCUUAGGGUUGUAAAGCUCUUUUACCAGGGAUGAUAAUGACAGUACCUGGAGAAUAAGCUCCGGCUAACUCCGUGCCAGCAGCCGCGGUAAUACGGAGGGAGCUAGCGUUGUUCGGAAUUACUGGGCGUAAAGCGCACGUAGGCGGCGACUCAAGUCGGAGGUGAAAGCCCGGGGCUCAACCCCGGAACUGCCUUUGAAACUAGGUUGCUAGAAUCUUGGAGAGGUCAGUGGAAUUCCGAGUGUAGAGGUGAAAUUCGUAGAUAUUCGGAAGAACACCAGUGGCGAAGGCGACUGACUGGACAAGUAGUGACGCUGAGGUGCGAAAGCGUGGGGAGCAAAC
This 400-nucleotide ribosomal RNA is filed under the name uncultured bacterium. Its description in RNAcentral is "bacterial SSU rRNA". It matches the Rfam family "Bacterial small subunit ribosomal RNA", at positions 356 to 773 of the family's 1533-position model. The record is from RNAcentral.